RNAcentral lists this ribosomal RNA (400 nucleotides) under phytoplankton environmental sample. RNAcentral's name for it is "partial small subunit ribosomal RNA". It matches the Rfam family "Eukaryotic small subunit ribosomal RNA", at positions 587 to 987 of the family's 1831-position model. The record is from RNAcentral.
AGCUCCAAUAGCGUAUAUUAAAGUUGUUGCAGUUAAAAAGCUCGUAGUUGGAUUUGGGACUGGAGUCGUUCGGUCGGCCGCAAGGUCUGUUACUGAACGGCUCUGUCAUCACAUUCCCAGAGACCUGCCGUGUACUUAACUGUGCGCGGUACGGGAUUUGGGACGUUUACUUUGAAAAAAUUAGAGUGUUCAAAGCAGGCUUAUGCCGUUGAAUAUAUUAGCAUGGAAUAAUAAGAUAGGACUUUUUUGCUAUUUUGUUGGUUUGCGCAAAGAGGUAAUGAUUAAUAGGGACAGUUGGGGGUAUUCGUAUUCCAUUGUCAGAGGUGAAAUUCUUGGAUUUUUGGAAGACGAACUACUGCGAAAGCAUUUACCAAGGAUGUUUUCAUUAAUCAAGAACGAA